Molecule: ribosomal RNA, 380 nt
Filed under: uncultured eukaryote
Lineage: Eukaryota
Description: partial 18S ribosomal RNA
Rfam family: Eukaryotic small subunit ribosomal RNA
Source: RNAcentral
CAAUAGCGUAUAUUAAAGUUGUUGCGGUUAAAAAGCUCGUAGUUGGAGUUCUGCCAGGUGCCGCCUGUCCGCCCCAGUGGUGAGUACGUGGCGCGCAUUUGGCCCUUUCAAGGGGAGCGUAUCUGCACUUUAUUGUGUGGUGCGGGAUCCUUGACUUUUACUUUGAGGAAAUAGGAGUGUUCCAAGCAGGCUCUCGUCGUGCACAGCUCAGCAUGGAAUAAUAGCAUUGGACCUCGAUUCUAAGCUGUUGGUUGCCAGAAGCGAGGUAAUGAUGAAGAGGGAUAGUUGGGGGCAUUCGUAUUUAACUGUCAGAGGUAAAAUUCUUGGAUUUGUUAAAGACGGACUACUGCGAAAGCAUCUGCCAUGGAUGUUUUCAUUGA